RNAcentral lists this ribosomal RNA (279 nucleotides) under uncultured bacterium. Its description in RNAcentral is "partial 16S ribosomal RNA". It matches the Rfam family "Bacterial small subunit ribosomal RNA", at positions 506 to 784 of the family's 1533-position model. The record is from RNAcentral.
UGCCAGCAGCCGCGGUAAUACGGGGGAUGCAAGCGUUAUCCGGGAUUAUUGGGCGUAAAGAGUCCGUAGGUUGUUAUCAAAGCCUAUUGUUAAAUAUCAAGGCUUCACCUUGAAUCUGCAGUAGGAACCUGAUAACUUGAGUGCGGUAGGAGUAGGAGGAAUUCCCGGUGUAGCGGUGAAAUGCGCAGAUAUCGGGAAGAACACCGGAGGCGAAAGCGCCCUACUAGGCCGACACUGACACUAAGGGACGAAAGCUAGGGGAGCAAACGGGAUUAGAUA